Molecule: ribosomal RNA, 608 nt
Filed under: uncultured Bacteroidota bacterium
Lineage: Bacteria; Pseudomonadati; Bacteroidota
Description: bacterial SSU rRNA
Rfam family: Bacterial small subunit ribosomal RNA
Source: RNAcentral
GACAAUGGUUGAAAGACUGAUCCAGCCAUGCCGCGUGCAGGAAGACUGCCCUAUGGGUUGUAAACUGCUUUUAUACAGGAAGAAACCUCCCGACGUGUCGGGAGCUGACGGUACUAUAAGAAUAAGGACCGGCUAACUCCGUGCCAGCAGCCGCGGUAAUACGGAGGGUCCAAGCGUUGUCCGGAUUUAUUGGGUUUAAAGGGUACGUAGGCGGGACUUUAAGUCAGUGGUGAAAGCCUCCAGCUUAACUGGAGAAUUGCCAUUGAAACUGAAGUUCUUGAAUAUGGAUGAGGUGGUUGGAAUAUAACAUGUAGCGGUGAAAUGCUUAGAUAUGUUAUAGAACACCAAUUGCGAAGGCAGAUCACUAAACCAUUAUUGACGCUGAGGUACGAAAGCGUGGGGAGCGAACAGGAUUAGAUACCCUGGUAGUCCACGCCGUAAACGAUGUUCACUCGCUGUUGGCGAUAUACUGUCAGCGGCCAAGCGAAAGCAUUAAGUGAACCACCUGGGGAGUACGAUCGCAAGGUUGAAACUCAAAGGAAUUGACGGGGGCCCGCACAAGCGGUGGAGCAUGCGGAUUAAUUCGAUGAUACGCGAGGAACCUUACC